Mangifera indica (mango) is the source of this 230-nucleotide long non-coding RNA. RefSeq lists it as uncharacterized. Lineage: Eukaryota; Viridiplantae; Streptophyta; Magnoliopsida; Sapindales; Anacardiaceae. The transcript has 3 exons. The record is from RefSeq and is a predicted model, not a curated record.
UACCGAUGUCGAUCGAUCACCACAUGCGGAUGCUCCGAUUACGGCUCCCAUUGUGACGUCUGUUUCGACAUUAGAGGAUACUACCGAUGUCGAUCGAUCACCACAUGCGGAUGCUCCGAUUACGGAUUGGGAGGAGGUUGAGGAUCUUCGUUUGAUCUAUCUCAACACUCCAAGCAAAGGAAAACAGGUGAUCGAUAUUGUUUCCUAGGAUGAUGAGAUCACUGAUGAUG